RNAcentral lists this ribosomal RNA (637 nucleotides) under uncultured bacterium. RNAcentral describes it as "bacterial SSU rRNA". It matches the Rfam family "Bacterial small subunit ribosomal RNA", at positions 607 to 1244 of the family's 1533-position model. The record is from RNAcentral.
GCUCAACCGGGGAGGGUCAUUGGAAACUGGGGAACUUGAGUGCAGAAGAGGAGAGUGGAAUUCCACGUGUAGCGGUGAAAUGCGUAGAGAUGUGGAGGAACACCAGUGGCGAAGGCGACUCUCUGGUCUGUAACUGACGCUGAGGCGCGAAAGCGUGGGGAGCGAACAGGAUUAGAUACCCUGGUAGUCCACGCCGUAAACGAUGAGUGCUAAGUGUUAGAGGGUUUCCGCCCUUUAGUGCUGCAGCAAACGCAUUAAGCACUCCGCCUGGGGAGUACGGUCGCAAGACUGAAACUCAAAGGAAUUGACGGGGGCCCGCACAAGCGGUGGAGCAUGUGGUUUAAUUCGAAGCAACGCGAAGAACCUUACCAGGUCUUGACAUCCUCUGACAACCCUAGAGAUAGGGCUUCCCCUUCGGGGGCAGAGUGACAGGUGGUGCAUGGUUGUCGUCAGCUCGUGUCGUGAGAUGUUGGGUUAAGUCCCGCAACGAGCGCAACCCUUGAUCUUAGUUGCCAGCAUUCAGUUGGGCACUCUAAGGUGACUGCCGGUGACAAACCGGAGGAAGGUGGGGAUGACGUCAAAUCAUCAUGCCCCUUAUGACCUGUGCUACACACGUGCUACAAUGGGCAGAACAAAG